AAUUACNGGUACGGGGAUUAGGGUUCGAUUCCGGAGAGGGAGCCUGAGAAACGGCUACCACAUCCAAGGAAGGCAGCAGGCGCGCAAAUUACCCAAUCCCGACACGGGGAGGUAGUGACAAUAAAUAACAAUACGGGGCUCAUUUGGGUCUCGUAAUUGGAAUGAGUACAAUUUAAAUCUCUUAACGAGGAACAAUUGGAGGGCAAGUCUGGUGCCAGCAGCCGCGGUAAUUCCAGCUCCAAUAGCGUAUAUUAAAGUUGUUGCAGUUAAAAAGCUCGUAGUUGAACUUCGGGGUCUACCCAUUGGUCAGGCUUAAUUGUCUGYACUGGUGAGAUGGAUCUCUACCUUCUGAGGAACUUUCAUGCCAUUUAUUUGGUGUGGUUGGAAAUCAGGACUGUUACUUUGAAAAAAUUAGAGUGUUUAAAGCAGACUAUCGUCUGAAUACAUUAGCAUGGAAUAAUGAAAUAGGACGGACUGAUUCUAUUUCGUUGGUUUCUAGGAUCACCGUAAUGAUUAAUAGGGAUAGUUGGGGGCAUUAGUAUUCAAUUGUCAGAGGUGAAAUUCUUGGAUUUAUUGAAGACUAACUACUGCGAAAGCAUUUGCCAAGGAUGUUUUCAUUAAUCAAGAACGAAAGUUAGGGGAUCGAAGACGAUCAGAUACCGUCGUAGUCUUAACCAUAAACUAUGCCGACUAGGGAUCGGACGAAGUUAAUUUUAUAAUGACGCGUUCGGCACCUUACGGGAAACCAAANUUUUNNGGGUCNC
RNAcentral lists this ribosomal RNA (764 nucleotides) under Diversispora aurantia. RNAcentral describes it as "SSU rRNA". It matches the Rfam family "Eukaryotic small subunit ribosomal RNA", at positions 353 to 1127 of the family's 1831-position model. The record is from RNAcentral. Lineage: Eukaryota; Fungi; Glomeromycota; Glomeromycetes; Diversisporales; Diversisporaceae.